AUUCAGCAUUAACUUGUUAAUUAAUUAGGAUUUGUGCACUAAAAUUUCGUUUAACUUGUGUUAUAUGCCCAUUUUUAACACAGGAAUUUGAAGAUUGGCUCAAGUUUCAUGCUUGUUCGGUAGGGUUGCGGCUACUUCUAUAGCUGUGCUGGUUAUGGAAAACUGGCUUCAAUGAAUCCAAAGAGCUUGAGCAAAAUUGAUAACUUGGGCAGGCAAUCUCUAUGAACAGCCACAUUCACUGGAGAUACAAAAGGAUUGAUGCUUUGUGCCUCUGCUCAAAUCGUAGCCCGUAGGUUGUUUCUUUCAUGCCACUCCAGAAACAUUCAAAUAAGUUCAGGUUCAAGGUUUCUAUUUACUAAAACUAACAGAGACUGUACUUCAUACUUGAAUUGAGAGAGGGAGGAAAUCUCCGAACAUCUGAAUCUCUUCCAUUCAUAUUAACACAUUAGGAAUUAUAGUUUUACAUCCACCAUACUACAGUACAUAGGCAAGG
Molecule: long non-coding RNA, 493 nt
Organism: Cucurbita moschata (crookneck pumpkin)
Lineage: Eukaryota; Viridiplantae; Streptophyta; Magnoliopsida; Cucurbitales; Cucurbitaceae
Exons: 2
Source: RefSeq, a predicted model, not a curated record